Molecule: long non-coding RNA, 594 nt
Organism: Drosophila novamexicana
Lineage: Eukaryota; Metazoa; Arthropoda; Insecta; Diptera; Drosophilidae
Exons: 2
Source: RefSeq, a predicted model, not a curated record
UGGUGCCAAGUCGCCGCUUGGUACCGCCGGCUCCCUAUCGGAGAGAGAGCAAAUCAAGUUGGUUGAAUCGCGUUAAGAGUUGGGCGUACCCGAUGCUUAACAAUUUUGAAUUUCAAAUAGAUGCAUAAAUAUUCCUGCACUAUUGCGCAGUAGACAUUUAUAAUGGCCGCUUUCUGCGAAAACCAAAUCGAAUUAGCAUCAGUGACAGAUCCGAGAAUUCACGUGCACGCUAAUUAAAACGAUUUUGGUGUAAUUACAAUUAUGUGAAAUAUUCUUAGGUUUCAACAGCGGCCAAUCAGAGCUUUAAGCUAAGCUCAGCUCGAUUUAAUUUAUUUGUAAUUUGUUUAAGCUCUAAAAACUUUAUUGCGACAGGUCAAAACUUAUAGGAACUGCUCUAAGUGCUCUACGACUUUGAACUUGAUCUCUAAUAUUGUUAAAUAAUCAUGUAGAUGAGCGCAGAAACCAGAAAAGUGAGUUUUUGAAAAUGGCAAUUCCCAAAUACGUUUAGUUCGCACAGGUUAAAUAAUUAAGAUAAUGCGCACAUUUGCUGAGACAAUAAAAUUCCCAGAAAUUUCAUUAAUUUCUCGACCAAAA